Molecule: ribosomal RNA, 916 nt
Filed under: Laribacter hongkongensis
Lineage: Bacteria; Pseudomonadati; Pseudomonadota; Betaproteobacteria; Neisseriales; Aquaspirillaceae
Description: partial 23S ribosomal RNA
Rfam family: Bacterial large subunit ribosomal RNA
Source: RNAcentral
GGUGCAAGCUCUUGAUCGAAGCCCCGGUAAACGGCGGCCGUAACUAUAACGGUCCUAAGGUAGCGAAAUUCCUUGUCGGGUAAGUUCCGACCCGCACGAAUGGCGUAACGAUGGCCACACUGUCUCAACCCGAGACUCAGCGAAGUUGAAAUGUUUGUGAAGAUGCAAUCUCCCCGCUGCUAGACGGAAAGACCCCGUGAACCUUUACUGUAGCUUUGCAUUGGACUUUGAACAGGCUUGUGUAGGAUAGGUGGGAGGCUUUGAAGCUGAGACGCUAGUUUCAGUGGAGCCGUCCUUGAAAUACCACCCUGGUGUGUUUGAGGUUCUAACCUGGGUCCAUCAUCUGGAUCGGGGACCGUGCAUGGUAGGCAGUUUGACUGGGGCGGUCUCCUCCCAAAGUGUAACGGAGGAGUUCGAAGGUUACCUAGGUACGGUCGGACAUCGUACUGAUAGUGCAAUGGCAAAAGGUAGCUUGACUGCGAGACCGACAAGUCGAGCAGGUGCGAAAGCAGGACAUAGUGAUCCGGUGGUUCUGAAUGGAAGGGCCAUCGCUCAACGGAUAAAAGGUACUCCGGGGAUAACAGGCUGAUUCCGCCCAAGAGUUCAUAUCGACGGCGGAGUUUGGCACCUCGAUGUCGGCUCAUCACAUCCUGGGGCUGUAGCCGGUCCCAAGGGUAUGGCUGUUCGCCAUUUAAAGUGGUACGUGAGCUGGGUUUAAAACGUCGUGAGACAGUUUGGUCCCUAUCUGCAGUGGGCGUUGGAAGUUUGAGGGGGGCUGCUCCUAGUACGAGAGGACCGGAGUGGACGCAUCUCUGGUGUACCGGUUGUGACGCCAGUCGCAUCGCCGGGUAGCUAUAUGCGGAAGAGAUAAACGCUGAAAGCAUCUAAGCGUGAAACUCGCCUCAAGAUGAGACUU